Molecule: long non-coding RNA, 1280 nt
Organism: Terrapene triunguis (Three-toed box turtle)
Lineage: Eukaryota; Metazoa; Chordata; Testudines; Emydidae
Exons: 3
Source: RefSeq, a predicted model, not a curated record
CAUGCAGGAGAACUAUGAGAAUGUGACCUCGCUGGGGUUUCCAGUUUCCAAACCUGAUGUGAUCUCCCAGCUGGAACAAGGGGAAGAGCCAUGGGUCCCAGACCUCCAGGGUUCAGAGGAAAGAGGGAUCUUGAAAGCUCCCUGCACAGUUGAGGAAACAUUAAACCAACUCAGAAUCUCUUUGCUUUUUCCCCAUCAUUCCAUGAUGACACAGAGACAGUUCAAGUGCAGUUCUGUCAACAGGAGAGAACUCUCCAAUUUACUAAACAAGCUGACAAAGAAACAGCAGUGAUUUACAGUCUCCAUUCGGAAAUGGUGAACAACAGCAGAACCCCAACUAACUGAAGGAAGUGCAUAUGAUCACAAUGUAGUUCAAUUAUUGAAGUCAAUAUUGUCUCAGAUGAUCUGGGGAGAGAAUUUCAAGGUACAUGAUUUUGAACUAGGCAAAAUGCCUAUGUAUUUGGUUCCCAAAACAUAUGUAACCCAGGCCCUACAAAAGAGCUCUUCUAGCUAAUCCUAAAUUAUGGGGGAUGCUGCCCUUCAUGACGCAGAUGUUGAGGAAAUAGAAGUGGGUUUUUUGUUGAAUAUAUCCUUCUUAGGUGCUAAAAAUGUGUAUAAAAUCCAGUGUUGGAAAUCUAAUAGCUGCAGAAAAAUAGCUCUUUUUGAAUAGAAACUCCAGCUCUGGUAACUAACGGAGAUUCUGAUCCAGCCCUGUAUCCAGUCCUUUGCCUGGAACUGUGCCACCAAAUUAAAGAAAAGCUGGGCAUGUUUUUGGAACCAUUCCUCACUAACACUGCUGAGAUUUUGAGUGGUUUUAUAAAGGAUUCUACUUCAGAGAAUGUAAAUUUACCCUAACCAAGACCAAGGAUUUAGAAAGAGCUGAGGUUGAAAGAGUACACAUUCAGUUCUUGGUUUCCACCCAAGUAAAGGAAGCUAGGUGAGCAAUGACCUAAGGAAAAUUGUUUGUGCAACUCCUUACUAGUUCAGUGUCACUGAUUACAGUUCCAAUGGAUGCCAGGGUUAGAUUGAGAACAAUCAUUCUUCACCAUUUUGAUCCAAAGAGACAGUGCUUCAUAGGACAUUCCUUCUCGGUGGAUCCCAACCUGGCUGCCUGAUUGGGUAACAAGGAUUUUCAGGCUGUAGAAAUGAUAACCAGUGAGGCAAUGAAUCUGUCAGGCUCCAAUUUCAGACUUCCGGAUCCACAUAUGUUCAGUUCUGAUUCUAUUGUUUUGUGUCUGAUGCUAUGGCUAAACAAUAAAGCUGACGUUGUCACAGUUGCA